Molecule: long non-coding RNA, 2960 nt
Filed under: Hordeum vulgare
Lineage: Eukaryota; Viridiplantae; Streptophyta; Magnoliopsida; Poales; Poaceae
Description: long non-coding RNA (HVUL_LNC005012)
Source: RNAcentral
GCAAAGAUGGCUUUAUUAAUAUAAUGGAGUAUUACAAUACUGUUGCUCAGUACAAUAUUACACAACUCCAAGACUAACUAAAUGGCAGCCGAGGUCUUGAUAACGCGGCAACAACGUCCCUGGCAGGACUGGCUGGGUUACAAUCUAGCACGACGAGUCUUCUCCUGCAACUGACCACGUGCAAGGCCAGGUGAGUACUUUGAAUGUACUCGCAAGACAACCAAAUACAUAGCAUCCAAACAGCGGAUAACAAAGCAAGCAUAGAAGCUAUUCUAAGCAUGGCAUAAAAUUAGCAGGAAAAUAAUAUGAAUCAAGUAUAGCAUGGCAUGGACUAAACAUGUAAUCUACCUAACUAACAAGGCAAAGAUCACAACAACAGUUUAAAUAGCUUACUGUUACCGAAUAUCGACUUACUCUCUUCUGGCUUGUCCCACAACCCUCAACAUACUCAUGAUCUAAUCUGAACGGAUCCAAAUCCCAUCACAUGGUCAGCGGACCAUUCAUCAUAUAGCCUUCUCUUGGCUAGCAUAUCAUAUACCCGUCAUCUCAUGAUGUCCACACAAGAUGAGUUCUACCAUCAUUACUAACACUGAUAUGGUUGACCAUCUACUGAAGUCUGAUCGGGCUGUCCAUUACCGUGGACUCGGCUAUUCGAAUAGUUUUGACACUCUAUAGAGGUUGCACACUCUACCCACACUAUGGAGCACUGACUUCGUGAUCCCAUUCGGGUGGACCAGCGUUGCUCCAACGAAACAUGCGUGGCCCGUGACUCUCUCAUUCUACCACCGGCAAUCACACUUCCCCGGAGUAUUGCCCUGAGUGGCCCUGUGUCCUCAUGACACCUUCCACCGCCGUGGCCAAACUAAAUUGUCCCAACCGGGGUCGGGUACCCAAACAACUCAAGUGGGCUCACAGGAUUAUCACCGCCUACCUGAUUAGGGUAGCACGCAUGCAUAACCCUCCCUCUUUGGAAGUACCGAUGAGAGAUCACGCGACCAGCUCAAGUCACGGCCAACCCAUAUCGGCAAGAUGUGGUUGUACGAUAAAGCCCGGACAGGAGAUCAACACACUAAGUUUAAUUUAACAAUAUGUUUAUCAAGCUUGGCUGCUUAUGCUCAUCAUGAUAAUAACGAUGAAUGCAGUAGCAAUGAUAAGAAUCCUACAAACUAUCUCUACAUUAAUAAUACAACAGAAUGUGAAUAGAAAAUUAUUACUUUGCAGAUCUUAGUUUUAACUGAGAUCCUCGGAAUCCCUCGCAUAAACUCGGCAAAUAAAUCGGUAGCCACCAGAACGGUUGUUACACACAUAUCUCGGACAUUACCGGAAUAACUCAACCCCGACUCAAGACGGCUGGAAAGCAGCUCAGAGCAUGAGGUGGUGUCGAUAAGAAGAAUGUGGAAGUUCCCUAAGACGGCGGAAUGACAACUCAGAGCAUAGUGUCACUGUCGUGGAAAGAAAGUCAACAGUUGCUGAUGACGGCCGAAAAGUAGCUCAGAACACAAGUUAUCUGCUCACAAGAGAAAUAUAAAGUUGGCAUCCACCCCGGUCGACCGAAAACAACUCAGACUCGGGCAUGGUGCCAUUAUUAAAUAAAAUGCGAGCAAGGGUUAGUCGGCAUCUCACACGUCACAUUGUUCAGUCACGCACAUCACAAAUUAAAUAUGCAAGAGCAUUACCGAGCAACGGUGAGGGCAUAUAUUAUAUGAAGAGUACUGCAAAAGAAUAUACUACUGAUGUUACCGUUGCAUGCAAACACAGAGUAACGGUGUUACGGAUAAUCACACAGGGUGCAAGCAGAGCUAUCACGCAUAUCCGGAGCUCAUGAUAAGAAGUUGGCUUGCCUCGGGGGGUCGAUGAUUACAUCGUGAAGAAGCGCACUACGACACCGAGAAGAUUUACCAGAGAGGGUUCUCUCUCGAAGGACUUGGUCGAAGGGCAGGGGAAAAAUAGUCAUUUCUACUAUGCAAACAUAUCAUGAAAAAAUAUAGUCGAGACGGGAUCGACGAGACGAAGACGUGAGCGCUGGUUUUACCUCAAUCGGAGCUACGAGCGCAAAGUUAUGGUCGUUCGUUGUUUAGGCAGGAAAACAAAUAAAAACCUGUUCAUUUCCGUCUAAACCAGCGAACGUUCACAACUUAGGCAGUUCGGCCGGCAGAGUUUUAAAGCAGAAAGCGUAUUUCAGAGAAUAUGCUUUUGGUAAAACGAAAGCACAUUACAUGGACUACGCGUCCACUUAAAACAGUCGGGCCGGGGGUUGACCAUUCUCUCACUUACAGGUGGUGAGCACCUUAUCCACUCCCUCCCUCUCACUUACACGCGGGGCAUACCCCUGCUUCUAUCUCUUCUCCCUGGCUCCUUCUUCUACCUCGUGCUGCCAAGCAGAGGAGGCCGAGCCGCCGGUGCAGCCGGCGAAUGGAGGCCGCGGGAGGGCCGGCCGGCGGGAGCAGGGGCUCCGCCAGCCCACGCCGCGCUCGCAGGCGGUCGAGGGGGAAGACGGGCUGACCUACAGCUGUACCGCCACGGCAGGGACACCAUGGCCGGCGGUCGCCUCGCGGAGGAGCACUUGCAGGGCCUGCCCGUCGGAGAGGAAAGCGGCGGCGACCUCGCCGAGGCUAGGAGGUGCCCUGACCGAGGAGAUGGGAGAGGGGGAGCGCUCUGGAGCUGAAAUUACCGUGGGGUCCGAUGGGAGCUCUCGGCCAUUGGGGAGGCAGGGAGCUCCAGGAGCUCAAUUAGGAGGGGUAACUGGGGCUGCUGGUGCUUGCGAGCUCGGGGAGGGGCUCGGGCACCCUUAAAUAGCAUCACGAGGGAGCUCUCGCGACAUCGGGAGAAGCUCCAAGAAUCCAUGGCGGGUUUCCCUUCGGUGCACGACACUCCCGGGCUGCUUAGAACCAGCUGGAUACAAGCUCCCGUGGACCUCAGUGCACAAAGCUCAGUUUUGGCACGCUCUGCACAUGGUCACC